Long non-coding RNA from Cervus elaphus (red deer), 188 nucleotides. RefSeq lists it as uncharacterized. The transcript is spliced from 3 exons. The record is from RefSeq and is a predicted model, not a curated record. Lineage: Eukaryota; Metazoa; Chordata; Mammalia; Artiodactyla; Cervidae.
ACUAGAUUGUAGAAAACAAACUUCGGGAGUCAAGAGUACAGGGUGCUGCUUAAAUUCCUCUGUUUCAACAGGUCAUAGUCUCUGACAUCUAACAUAUUCAACACUUGGUGUCACUGUUAAAAAUUUUCAACGGAUUCAGGUCAUAGUCUCUGUCAGUACAGUGGCCAAACCACAAGGCUUGAUUGGUA